GGGCCCGCACAAGCAGCGGAGCAUGUGGUUUAAUUCGACGCAACGCGAAGAACCUUACCAUGACUUGACAUCCAAAGAAUUCGGUAGAAAUACUGAAGUGCCCCGUAAGGGGAGCUUUGAGACAGGUGGUGCAUGGUUGUCGUCAGCUCGUGUCGUGAGAUGUUAGGUUAAGUCCUGCAACGAGCGCAACCCUUGUUGUUAGUUGCUAACAUUCAGUUGAGCACUCUAACAAGACUGCCGAGGUUAACUCGGAGGAAGGUGGGGAUGACGUCAAAUCAUCAUGCCCUUUAUGUCAUGGGCUACACACGUGCUACAAUGGCCGUUACAGAGAGAUGCAAGACCGCAAGGUGGAGCCAAUCUCAAAAACCGGUCCCAGUUCGGAUUGUAGGCUGCAACUCGCCUACAUGAAGCUGGAGUUGCUAGUAAUCGCGAAUCAGCAUGUCGCGGUGAAUACGUUCCCGGGCCUU
Molecule: ribosomal RNA, 467 nt
Filed under: uncultured bacterium
Lineage: Bacteria
Description: bacterial SSU rRNA
Rfam family: Bacterial small subunit ribosomal RNA
Source: RNAcentral